UGGGGAGAAUGACCACCUGUUUACGGGGGCCAAAAACUCCGCCACGGCGGGAUGGAGAGCAAUACUACAAAAGAUUGGCCUGGAGGGGAAGGUCCAGCCCCACCAGGCCAAAAAAAAAUGGGACAAUUUAAAAAGAAAAUAUAAAGAUUGCAAAUAUCCAGGGACAGGAGAGGGGACCAG
Long non-coding RNA from Scomber japonicus (chub mackerel), 180 nucleotides. RefSeq lists it as uncharacterized. The transcript has 3 exons. Lineage: Eukaryota; Metazoa; Chordata; Actinopteri; Scombriformes; Scombridae. The record is from RefSeq and is a predicted model, not a curated record.